AAGUUUGAUCCUGGCUCAGGAUGAACGCUAGCGGCAGGCCUAAUACAUGCAAGUCGAACGGGAUUUGGGAGCUUGCUUCCAAUGAGAGUGGCGCACGGGUGCGUAACACGUAUGUAACCUACCUUAAUCUGGGGGAUAGCCUCUCGAAAGAGAGAUUAACACCGCAUAACAUUACCGGAUAGCAUUUUCUGGUAAUCAAAUAUUUAUAGGAUUAAGAUGGGCAUGCGGAACAUUAGCUAGUUGGUAAGGUAAUGGCUUACCAAGGCUACGAUGUUUAGGGGAUCUGAGAGGAUGACCCCCCACACUGGUACUGAGACACGGACCAGACUCCUACGGGAGGCAGCAGUAAGGAAUAUUGGUCAAUGGGCGCAAGCCUGAACCAGCCAUGCCGCGUGCAGGAAGACGGCCCUACGGGUUGUAAACUGCUUUUGUACCGGAAUAAACCUUGAUUCGUGAAUCAAGCUGAAUGUACGGUAAGAAUAAGGAUCGGCUAACUCCGUGCCAGCAGCCGCGGUAAUACGGAGGAUCCAAGCGUUAUCCGGAUUUAUUGGGUUUAAAGGGUGCGUAGGCGGUUCUUUAAGUCAGGGGUGAAAGACGGUAGCUUAACUAUCGCAGUGCCUUUGAUACUGAAGAACUUGAAUACACUUGAGGUAGGCGGAAUGUGACAAGUAGCGGUGAAAUGCAUAGAUAUGUCACAGAACACCAAUUGCGAAGGCAGCUUACUAAAGUGUCAUUGACGCUGAGGCACGAAAGCGUGGGGAUCAAACAGGAUUAGAUACCCUGGUAGUCCACGCCCUAAACGAUGAUUACUCGACAUACGCGAUACACUGUGUGUGUCUGAGCGAAAGCAUUAAGUAAUCUACCUGGGAAGUACGA
This 876-nucleotide ribosomal RNA is filed under the name uncultured bacterium. RNAcentral's name for it is "bacterial SSU rRNA". It matches the Rfam family "Bacterial small subunit ribosomal RNA", at positions 9 to 885 of the family's 1533-position model. The record is from RNAcentral.